RNAcentral lists this ribosomal RNA (468 nucleotides) under uncultured bacterium. RNAcentral's name for it is "partial 16S ribosomal RNA". It matches the Rfam family "Bacterial small subunit ribosomal RNA", at positions 28 to 507 of the family's 1533-position model. The record is from RNAcentral.
GAUGAACGCUGGCGGCGUGCUAAACACAUGCAAGUCGAACGGUGAAGGCGGAGCUUGCUCUGCUGGAUCAGUGGCGAACGGGUGAGUAACACGUGAGCAAUCUGCCCCUGACUCUGGGAUAAGCGCUGGAAACGGCGUCUAAUACUGGAUACGAGCUGCGAAGGCAUCUUCAGCAGCUGGAAAGAACUUCGGUCAGGGAUGAGCUCGCGGCCUAUCAGCUUGUUGGUGAGGUAACGGCUCACCAAGGCGUCGACGGGUAGCCGGCCUGAGAGGGUGACCGGCCACACUGGGACUGAGACACGGCCCAGACUCCUACGGGAGGCAGCAGUGGGGAAUAUUGCACAAUGGGCGAAAGCCUGAUGCAGCAACGCCGCGUGAGGGACGACGGCCUUCGGGUUGUAAACCUCUUUUAGCAGGGAAGAAGCGAAAGUGACGGUACCUGCAGAAAAAGCGCCGGCUAACUACGUG